AGGCUUCAUGUCCCUUAACUUAUAAUGAAUUAGGGUUGAGAGGCUCUCUCCUCCAAGGGCCAGGAGGUCUGGUUUUAUAGUCCCUCCAAGUGAAUAUGGGCCGUCGGAUCAAACUGACAUUGAUUGAACGGUUAUCCUUGAUCCUUUAGGUCGGUGGAGCUUGAUCCCAAAAGAGAGUCCUGAUUGGACUCCAGAGGUGGGCGGGCGCCCUGGGCCAGGCCCCGUUUCGCCUCCGCUUUGUUCUCGUGGCUUCUAGAGUCUUCUGGAUGUAAGAUAAUUGCACGGCACAUUGAUAUCUCUAUGUAAUCCCGACGUGUGGGCCUUUCUUCCGUAUUUCCUGAUAACCCCGUGCAGAAAUAGACAAACACCAAAACUCAUGGAAUUCUGUGAGAUAAAACCCUAAGUCUAGAUGUUGAUUUCAUUUGGAUCCUGUUCUUUGUUUAUUUGAUAAUUAAAUUUGAUACUUCAGGACCGUCAACAAACUCCCCCAAGCUUACCUCUUGCUCGUCCCUAAUCAAGGAUAAUCUCAGCGAUGGAAUAGAAGUUGCUGUAAUACCUUUGAAAAUUGACGGUACACAUGCUUUUAAAUAAGAUCUCAUCUCUGAGUUAGAGUAAACUAUCAAGACUUAAAACUUACUUACUUUACCUUUCACCAUGGGACUUGUAACCGUCACUUCUGUCUCGGGUAGUUAAAAGAUAGAACAGUCUAAUCAAGUGCCAUGUCUCUUAUUCUUGAUCAGCUAUAGCUCUGGAGUUUUAACAGAUUUUCAAAUAAAACUCAGAGAUUCCUUGUAUGAUUCUCUCAGAUCUAUAUUUUGUGGUAUUUCUGGAUCCUUACCAAGGCAGUGAUGGUAUAUGCUUUCCCUCAACCUACUCUAAUAAGGUUUUGAUAUCUGGAGCUCAUAGGUGGGAGACAGAUAAUACAUACUUACAAGACAUUUAUUGCAUAGUCAAACCAUUGAUCCAAAGAAUCAAAUCAAUAAGUCAAAUCAAUAUGUGCAUGUGUGGCGAAUGAAUGGUGUAUGGUGAUGAUGGUGAUAAAAAUGGUGAAAGUCUAAUUCUACUUUUGCUCUUUGAGGGGAUACAUACCUUUCUUGCUCUUUUAAACUUUUUGAGGAGAAUGAGAUGCUCUAUAUUUUCUUUUUCUUUUCUCUUAGUUGGGUAUUUUGUACCCCUAAUUCUAUUGUCGGACACUUGUCCAUUUUUACCUCUCGUGUCACUUUUUCUUUUCUUUCGAGGUUCCGGGCACUUGCCCCUUUUUAUUUCCUCGUAUUUUUUCUCUUUUUUUAGAGCACUUAUCUCAUGAAAUAGCAAGUGGCAGUAACCAAGAUAACUUGAGCAUUUAUUUCACAAGGGAAAAACAUAAAUAUUUUUGCUCAUUCUCUCCCGGAUUAGGAGUAGAAUAUUUUUGGGUGGUUCUGGAGAUGGAAAUGAGUGGAUAUAUGUGGAUGGUACUUCCGAAGUAGAAGCAGCAUAUGUGAGUGAACGUGCAAAUGAAUCUUGAUUUAACCACAUGACAAGCUCCUAAGGGUCUACACAGCUUGACCACACUCAAUGCUCAUAAGCAGUAAAAAGUAAAAAUAUGGAUCAAAGUCUAGAAAGCAUGUAUAUAUGGCUGUGGUAAUAAUUUAAACUCUCACCAUACAGGAACUCAUCAUGCAAUAUUUUAAAGAUUUUUUGAAAGAUAAAAUUCUCUAGAAUUCUAGCAUCUCGAGGAACAGAUAAACAACAGCUCAACCUUCCCAUAUCAUAUCCGUUAACAACCUAGACAUCAGAUCAAGUUUUCUAACAACAGCUCAACCUUCCCAUACCAUAUCCGUUAACAACCUAGACUUCAGAUCAAGUUUUCUUCCCACAAGUUUAGGUUUAGAGCAAGCUUUAAAUUAUAACAGUUAUGUCUAAACUUGAGAGAAAACUCAAAUUUGAAAAUUAGGCAGAGCAACUAUUCAUCAUAUCCAUGCUAGAAUUUUAUUAUUAAGAUUCAGUUUAGCAUAGCCACUUUAUUUAUUUAUCAAACAAACUAAGCAAAGAUAUAUAUAUAUAUAAGCACAAAAUCUUUAUUUGGUUUUCUAUAGUUAUGUAUAUUUAUAUUUUAAUAUAGUAUAAGUAUAAAGAUAGAUAGAAAUACUUAGAGGGAUAAAUGGGGGUGCUCUCCCCCAAGCUAAAUUUUGACGUAAUUUCUUCUGAUGUAGCUAGCAGGUGGCAGAGGUGUAUUUGAAAGUCGGCAGUAUCCUGACAGCGAUUAGAAUGUCCUUCGUCUGCUGGUCUUCUUGAUUCUUAAAUUCUGUGGAGCUCAAAUAGACAACAAAGCUUUGUGGAACUAACUAAGUGUUAGCAUAAAUAUCUAGCCUUCAUCAUGUUGAGUCUCCUCAAUAAAUAUUACUCUCUAUUUUUAUAUUUUCAUUUUAUAAAGCAAAAAAAAUAUUUAUUUUAUUUUUAUGCCACCAUAGUGAAUGUACUUAUGGAUUUCAUGCCACUCGUAUACUCACAUGGGGCUUACUAUUUUUUAACAUUUUUAUUUUCUUUUUAGGAUAGUAUGAAUAUGAUUAACUAAGCAAACUAUUUAAAAUAAUUGAAAGGGAAAGGAUAACUACCAAGUUUACCUCUUGGCAAGCCGUUCGGCGUUUUUAAGUCCUCCGAACAGGACUCUCCAUUUUCUCAGUCGUCCUGGGAUUCGUUGGAUGGCAGAGUCGGUACUUCCGGCGGCGCGUCUUCUUCAUGUAUAGUUAUCUUCUCUCUCCACACCUGACUUGGUGCUAUGGUCUCCUCUGGAUAAUUCUAUUUAAACUGUAUGUCUUCUGACCUUAUCACUUCUCCUUCAUAGUCUGUGUUGAUAUUUGGUAACGCAAUAAGGAAAUGAUCCGCAAGCGCACGGAUAUCGGUGAGCAUUUCACCUGGGAGGUUAUCCAGAGUUAUCGUAUUUAUAUUUUUACCACUGGGAGAAAGGGUGCAUCUGACUAACCAAAUCUAUUGCUACUACCCCUUUAGGCUACAAAGAAUGUUUCUCGAUGUGAGUGAUGUAUAGAGAAGACUGCAACCGUAGUCUCAUUCUAACCUUGGUAAGGAUGAUCUAUUGUUCUAUUGGGGAGGCUUAGGAAUCUAGACACCACAAAGGAUGUUCGACCCGCACCUAUAAACCUACCCAUCCUGCUAACGAGAUGUGGGAUGCAAAGGUAACUCGGAAAUGUCACGUUCCUCGCUACUACCAUGGUCCAGCUAGUCAGGGGAUAUCUAUGAGUACCCUAGCCUAAACACCACGUUUACGCUAGCAAUGAUUACUCUAAUACUCAACCGGAAGAGAUUAAAGUCAACUCAUAAACCAAAGAACAAUAAAACAAGAACUUACUAGAGUUAGAAGUCGAAUUACUGAAGAAUCCUAGGAGCAAGCCUCGGGUUAGAAGACUUGAUCCCGCAGUUACAACCUCGGAGUAGACACCGACAGGCCGGGCUUCCUCCGAUCUACACCUCCAUUCUAUCUCUCUCAAUCUAGUAGAAACUAGAAGAUCUAAUUCUACUCACAUUGGAUGCUAAGCCUAAAAGAAAUUUUAUUUAGAGGAGAGGUAUUCCUUCGAGGGCACCUCUCAACUCUAUGAUGAACUUGUCUCCUCCAGGGGCCAGGGGGUCUGGUUUUAUAGUCCCCUCAAGUGAACGUGAGCCAUUGGAUCAAACCGACAUUGAUUGUACGGUUAUCCUUGAUCCUUUAGGUCGGUGGAGCUUAGUCCACGAAGAAAGUUCUGAAUCGAAUCCAGGUCAGGGCGGGCGCCCAAGGGGGGAGGGCGGGCGCCCUGCCCCUGGGUCCGUUCGGCCUCCCGUUCGUUCCCGUGGCUUCUGGAGUCUUCUAGAUGAAAGAAAAUUGCGCAGCACAUUAAUAUCUCUAUGUAAUCCCGACGUGUGGGCCUUUCUUCCAUAUUUCCUGAUAACCCCCUGCAGAAAUAGACAAACACCAAAACUCGUGGAAUUCGGUCAGAUAAAACCCUAAGUCUGGGUGUUGGUUGCAUUUGGAUCCUUUUCUUUAUUUAUUUGAUGAUUAUAUUUGGUACUUAAGGACCGUCAACAACUCCCCCAAGCUUACCUCUUGCUCGUCCCUGAGCAAGGAUGAACUCAAGAGUUUCUGUAGUGGUUUCAUGCCUUAAAAGUAAGAUCUCAUCUCUGAGUUAGAGUAAACUGUUAAGACAUAAAACUUACUCAUUUUACCUUUUACCAUGGGGCUUGUAACCGUCACUUGUGACUUGAGCAGUUAAAAGAUAGAACGGUCAAGUCAAGCGCCAUGUCUCUUAUUCUUGAUCAGCUAUAGCUCUGGAGUUUUUGCAGAUUUUCAAAUAAAACUCAGAGAUUCCUUGUAUGACUCUCUCAAAUCUCUCUUUUGUGGUAUUUCUGGGUCCUUUCCAAGGCAGUAAUGGUAUAUGCCUUCUCUCAAAGUAUGUGGUAUUUUUGGUAUGAGGCAUAGUGAUAUUGCCUUCUCUCUCACCCUACUCUAAUAAGGUUUUAAUAUCUGGAGCUCAUAGGUGGGAGACAGCUAAUACAUACUUACAAGACAUUUAUUGCAUAGUCAAACCAUGGAUCCAGAGAAACAAGUUAAUAAGUCAAAUCAAGAUGUGCAUGUGUGGCAAGUGAAUGGUGUAUGGUGAUAACAAUGGAGAAAAUCUAAUUCUACUUUUGCUCUUUUAAGGGGAUACAUACCUUUCUUGCACUUUGAAGCUUUUUGAGGAGAAUGGGAUGCUCUAUAUUUUCUUUUUCUUUCCUCUCAGGUGGGUAUCUUAUACCCCUAAUUCUAUUGUCGUACACUUGUCCAUUUUUACCUCUCGUCGCACUUUUUCUUUUCUUCGAGGUCCCGGGCACUUGCCCCUUUUUAUUUCCUCGUAUAUUUUUUUAUUUUUUAUUUUUUUUAGAGCACUCAUCUCCUGAAAUAAUAUAGCAAGUGGUAGUAACCAAGAUAACUCGAGCAUUUAUUCCACAGGGAAUAACAGGGAUAGGAUAAUGUUUUUGGCUAUUCUCUCCUGGAUUAGGAGUAGAAUAAUUUUGGGUGAAUCUGGAGAUGGGAAUGGGUGGAUGUAUGUGGAUGCGUACUUCCGGAGUAGAAGUAGCAUAUAUGAGUGAACGUGCAAGUGAAUCUUGAUUUUAACCGCAUGACAAGCUCCUAAGGGUCUACACAGCUUGACCACACUCAAUGCUCAUAAGCGGUAAAAAGUAAAUAUGUGGCUCAAAGUCUAAUACGCAUGUAUAUAUGGCUGUGGUAGGAUUUUAAUCUCUCAUCAUACAGGAACUCAUCAUGUGAUAUUUUAAAGAUUUUUCAAAGAUAAAAUUCUCCAGAAUUCUAGCAUCUCUAGGAACAGAUAAACAGCAGCUCAACCUUCCCAUAUCAUAUCCGUUAACAAGUUAGACUUUAGAUCAAGUACUCUUCCCACAAGUUCAGGUUUAGAGUAAAUUUUAAUUCAUAACAGUCAUGCCUAAACUUGAGAGAGAUUUCAAUUUUGAGAACUAGUCAUAGCAGAACAACUAUUCAUCAUUUCCAUGUGAGAGCUUAUCAUGAGCGUUCAUAGCAAACUUUAUUUAUUUAUUUAUUUAGCAAACUAAGCAAAGAUAUAUAUAUAUAUAUAUAUAUAUAUAUAAAAGCACAAAAUCUUUAUUUGGGUUUUCAUGAUUGUGCAUCUUUUAUUAUUUGAGUAAAGUAUAAACGCGAGUAGAAACACUUAGCUGGAUAAAUGGGGGUGCUCUCCCCCAAGCUGGAUUUUGACGUAAUUUCUUCUGAUGUAGCUAGCAGGUGGUGGAGGUGUAUUUGAAAGUCGACAGCACCCUGACAGUGAUUAGGAUGUCCUCCAUCUGCUAGUCUUCUUUGAUCCUUGAAUUCUGUGGAGCUCAAAUAGACAACAAAGCUUUGUGGAACUGGUUAAGUGUUAGCUUAAAAUCUCUUUGCCUUUACCAUGUUGAGCUUCCUCUAAUAAAUAAUACUCUCUUUGGUAGGAUCAUAAUUUACUUUUAUAUUCUCAUUUUUAAAGGACAUGAAUAUAUUCAUUUUAUUUUUAUGCCACCACAGUGAAUGUACUUAUGGGUUUUAUGCCAUGAGCAUACUCACAUGGGGCACUAUUUUAAACAUUUUUAUUUUCUUUUCAAGAUAAUAUGAACCUGAUUAACUAAGCAAACUAUUGAAAAGAAAAGGAUAACUACCAAGUUUACCUCUUGACAAGGCGUUCGUCGUUUUUAAGUCCUCCGAGCAGGACUCCUUGUGUUUGCAGUCGUCCUGGGAUUCGUUGGAUGGCGUAGUUAGUGGUUCCAGUGGCGCCUCCUCUUCGUGUGUAACUAUCUUCUCUCUCGACACCUGACUCGGUGCUACGGUCUCCUCAGGACAGUUCUGUUCAAGCUGUAUGUCUUCAGACCUUAUCACUUCUCCUUCAUAGUCUACCCAUCCGUCGUUGAUGAUUUGCCUCCUGUGGUUUCGGUUGCGUUGUCUUCUUCUUGUCCUAGCCUGCUUAGAGUCUCCAACUAUAUAGUUAAGGUCAGUAAAAUAACGGCGUACCUUCUCAGAGGGGAAGUACAUGUGGACUUCUCCGGUUCCAAUGUAGAUGAUUGCUUUAAUAGUGUUGAGAAACGGUCUUCCAAGGAUGAUGGGUGUAUCGUACUCGUCUUCUCCCAUGUCAAUGACCUGAAAGUCAUCUGGAGCUGAAUGUAUGUUGGUUGUAGAGGCAUGGUUCCAUGCAGGAGCUGAUAAGUGACUGCAGCCAUUAUGUUGACGUCAGAUCCGGUGUCGUAGAGUGUCUUCUGAAAAGAGUAUCCGUUGAUUGUGCACUUGAUGCUUGGAACACCAGGGUCGUCUUUCUUGAUCAGGAAAGGCGACUUGAGUCAACGAUGUUGACUUCUUCCGACAAGGAUCCAAAGUUUUAAAUCUUCUGGACGAGACUUCUCACUGUCUUUAUCCUUUAGGUGCAUCAUUUGAUUAGGUGUGGACCUUGACGUCUGCACCUCUUGAUACGGUGUCACCCAUGUUCUUCUUUGCCCAGCAGUUCGAAGUAUGGUGUUGACAAUAUCCUGCUCAGUGUGUUUGUGCUCGUAGAUCCAGGUCCUUCAUUUGGUAGAGUCUAGGAGUUGUAAAACUCCUCUAUGUUUUGCUUGAAGUGUACCUGUUCAUAGAGACAAGGUAGAGAUCAAGUGCAUGGGCCCUGUUGGUGAAAAACACCAAUAGAACCAAUAGUGUAUUUGUUCUUCUCUAACCUUAAGCAUAGUGGGCAAGACAAAGUUGAUGGAUCAUGAGUGUAGCAUUUGUCAGAUCAGAUGGCUCAACCUAAUGGAAAAAUAAUCUAUCUACAUUUAUGUUUUAUUUAUAUCUUCCAAAGAUUGAAUGUGCAACAUUUUAGCUUAUAUGAUUAGGAGUGUGUGGUCACGAAGGUAGUACUAAGAACAAAGAUUAAAGGACUAAAUAUGUUGAAUUAAUUGGGUUGGUUAAUUUGGAGCUACAAAUCAUACAUGUUUGUCUCUUUUAUUCUUGGGUAUGCCAGAACCAAGGAGAAACUUAUAAAAGUGAUAAUCAAGUACUUUAAGAUGUUACCUUAAUUGAAGAGUGAUGGUAUAGUAUCACCUUGUGGAAGCUCUCCUUUCUUAGCGGUUGUGCAUCUUGUUUGUGGCACUCUUUGUCUUGUUCCAUGGAUCAUCUCUCUGUGAUGAAUGAGCUAUGUCUUCCUUGUUCAAAUUGUUAAACUUCAUGUGUCUCCUUUAUCUCCAAUGAGUUUGUAUCUCAGGACUUCCCAGGUUGAUAUUGAAUGUUUUCCUGUAGGGGUUAGUCCAACAAAAUAUACCAAUGCCUACUCAAGUAGUUUUUAGUUUAGUAACCAAACUAGACUCCAUGUCUAAUCAGAUUAAGGAAUGCUAUUUAACCUAAGCACCACGCUUAAUUUAAAUGCCAAUGGAAGUAUGUCCAGUACUUCCAAACCAACACUUACUUAAGAUAAACAUAGGUAGCAUGAUGGCAUUUCUAGAGAGCUACUCAAGUGGAGAAGUAGUGUGACUAGUAUUUAACAAAUCAAGCAUGUUUCAAAGGUAGGGACAACCAACAUAGCAACUUGGCAAAGGAUGUUUUCAUGUGAAGUACUCUCCCAAGCUUGAAUUUUGCAAAAUUCAAGGUUGGAUGAAUUUAAUUCAAUGUUGCAUGAUGAUGGGUUGGACAUACCUUGUACUUGUCAUUCAUCCGAUCUUCUUGCUCCAAUCCUAGAAAGGUUAGUGGCAAGAAUACCCGAAGGAAUAUUUCUACAAUUAUCUUUAUAUGCUCAAUACACAAGGCAAUGUUGCAAAUAAUUAGAAGUUCAUGUUACGAUCUGAUAAGUGCUUGUUUUAGGACACUAAGCUUGUCCUUGGGAAACCAUCAAUUUACUCAAUGAGAUCUGCAAUAUUUAUUAUAGACAUAUGCAUUGACAACCGCUCUUUUUAAGAUGUUAUAAAUAGAAAGGAAGAGGGGGUUGGAGAUCUCAAAUGUGGUGAUAGCACAUGGAUUUUAAUGCCCUCUAGCCAUUGAUGUUGCUCUUCUCGAUCCUCCUUCUUAUGCAUGGGAUGUCUAGAGAGAUUCAUAGGAUCAUCGGGAGGUUCAAGAGAAAGAUCAUAGGAGAAAUUAUUAGGCUCAAGGAUGGGUUGGAUAGCUGAAUCAAGGGAUUAAAAUGUUUGGAAAUCAGCUAUUGAAACUUCCUUUCCUCGUCUAGGAGAUGAUUCCUUCUCUAUCUCUAGGAAUUUUUUAUGAAGACUAGUGCAAGAACGAUAUCCACAAAUGAAGACAUACCUUCCUUUACUAAUAGAUAAAGAAAGAAAGACUCUACCAAAGGUUAUAUGAUUAAGACCAAUGUGAAAAUAUCGAGGAAAAACAUGGUCUUGUAGGGCUAGGUUUAAACCAGAAUUUAUAGAAAGAUUAAUAGAUUCCCUAGGUGUAGCUAAAAGUGCAUUAUCUUCUUGAUUAAAAGAUAGGACCUCGGCAAUAGAAAAGGGUUGGUUUUGACCUAUUGCAAUCAACUUCGGACACAGAUCAUAAUUAGGGGCAGGACUUGUUGACUCCCAUGGUCUAUGGCUGGUCUCCGAAGGUGCAAAGAAUUCAAUAAUAGGUAUGGAAUUUGAGUUAUCCAUAAAGAUAAAAGUAAAAAGAUAAAAGGAUAAAAGUAUAAAAGUAUAAUACAAGAUAAUAGCAAGACUUAAAGUUAUCUCAGCAAACCGUCUUUCUCCUCAGCAACGGCGCCAGAAAUGCUUGUUGAUAUUUGGUAAUGCAAUAAGGAAAUGAUCCGCAAGCGCACGGAUAUCGGUGAGCAUUUCACCCGGGAGGUUAUCCAGAGUUAUCGUAUUUAUAUUUUUACCACUGGGAGAAAGGGUGCAUCUGACUAACCAAAUCUAUUGCUACUACCCCUUUAGGCUACAAAGAAUGUUUCUCGAUGUGAGUGAUAUAUAGAGAAGACUGCAACCGUAGUCUCGUUCUAACCUUGGUAAGGAUGAUCUACUGUUCUAUUGGGGAGGCUUAGGGAAUCUAGACACCACAAAGGAUAUUCGACCUGCACCUAUAAACCAACCCGUCCUGCUAACGAGAUGUGGGAUGCAAAGGUAACUCAGAAAUGUCACGUUCCUCACUACUACCACGGUUCAGCUAGUCAGGGGAUAUCUAUGAGUACCCUAGCCUAAACACCACGUUUACGCUAGCAAUGAUUACUCUAAUACUCAACCCGAAGAGAUUAAAGUAAACUCAUAAACCAAAGAACAAUAAAACAAGAACUUACUAGAAUUAGAAGUCGAAUUACUGAAGAAUCCUAGGAGCAAGCCUCGGGUUAGAAGACUUGAUCCCGUAGGUACAACCUCGGAGUAGACACCGACAGGCCGGGCUUCCUCCGAUCUACACCUCCACUCUAUCUCUCUCAAUCUAGUAGAAACUAGAAGAUCUAAUUCUACUCACAUUAGAUGCUAAGCCUAAAAGAAAUUUUAUUUAGAGGAGAGGUAUUCCUUCGAGGGCACCUCUCAACUCUAUGAUGAACUUGUCUCCUCCAGGGGCCGGGGGGUUUGGUUUUAUAGUCCCCUCAAGUGAACGUGAGCCAUUGGAUCAAACCGACAUUGAUUGGACGGUUAUCCUUGAUCCUUUAGGUUGGUGGAGAUUAGUCCACGAAGAGAGUUCUAAAUCGAAUCCAGGUCAGGGCGGGCGCCCAAGGGGGGAGGGCGGGCGCCCUGCCCCCGGGCCCGUUCGGCCUCCCGUUCGUUCCCGUGGCUUCUGGAGUCUUCUAGAUGAUAGAAAAUUGCGUGGCACAUUAAUAUCUCUAUGUAAUCCAGACGUGUGGGCCUUUCUUCCAUAUUUCCUGAUAACACCCUGCAGAAAUAGACAAACACCAAAACUCGUGGAAUUCUGCCAGAUAAAACCCUAAGUCUGGGUGUUGGUUGCAUUUGGAUCCUUUUCUUUUUUAUUUGAUGAUUAUAUUUGGUACUUAAGGACCGUCAACAGUCUGCCCAUCCAUCCUUGAUGAUUUGCCUCCUCUGGUUGCGGUUGCAUCGUUUCCUGUCCUGCUUAGAAUCUUCAACGAUAUAGUUAGGGUCAUUAAAAUAGCGGCGUACCUUCUCUGAGGGGAAGUGCAUAUGGACUUCUCCAGUUCCAAUGUAGAUGAUUGCUUUAACGGUGCUGAGGAACGGUCUUCCAAGGAUGAUGGGUGGAUCGUAUUCGUCUUCUCCCAUGUCAAUAACCUUAAAGUCUGUGUAGACAAAAUGAUCGUCUAUUUUGACAAGGACAUCAGUUACUAUUCCUUUAACCUCUUGAAACGUCUGAUCUGCCAUCUGGAGUUGAAUGUAUGUUGGUUUUAGGGGCAUGGUUCCGAACAAGAGCCGAUAGGUAACUGCGGCCAUUAUGUUG
This 10846-nucleotide long non-coding RNA is filed under the name Sorghum bicolor (sorghum). RNAcentral's name for it is "long non-coding RNA (SBIC_LNC006550)". Lineage: Eukaryota; Viridiplantae; Streptophyta; Magnoliopsida; Poales; Poaceae. The record is from RNAcentral.